UACGUAGGUGGCAAGCGUUGUCCGGAAUCACUGGGCGUAAAGCGCGCGCAGGCGGCGAUCUACGUCUGGGGUGAAAGCCCGGAGCUCAACUCCGGGACUGCCUUGGAUACGGGAUCGCUUGAGGAUUGGAGAGGCAAGGGGAAUUCCACGUGUAGCGGUGAAAUGCGUAGAUAUGUGGAGGAACACCUGUGGCGAAGGCGCCUUGCUGGCCAAUUCCUGACGCUGAGGCGCGAAAGCGUGGGGAGCAAACAGG
RNAcentral lists this ribosomal RNA (253 nucleotides) under uncultured bacterium. Its description in RNAcentral is "partial 16S ribosomal RNA". It matches the Rfam family "Bacterial small subunit ribosomal RNA", at positions 524 to 776 of the family's 1533-position model. The record is from RNAcentral.